GUAGGUGAACCUGCGGAAGGAUCAUUUCCAAAAAAAACAUACUCUAUCCACCCACCAUGUGCACUGUUUUGGGUUUUUUACUCUCUCUUUCUUUCCCUGGGCGCGUGUGCGGGCGCAUGCUCUGUCAUACCGCGUGUAUACAUACAUAUGUAUACGUGCGGCAUCGGAUGGAUGUGCGUCCACAUGCACACGUGUCUAUGAAGGGGGGAGAGGAGAGAGGCCUUGAUGAACUACCCUUUCUUUUUUUUUUGUUUUCUUCCAAAAAAAGAAAAUAAAAAAAGAGAAAAAAAGGUUGAUGUCACCGUGGUGCGAUAUUUGUUGCUUCCCCUUUUGUACAUGUGCGUCUCGAUAACACGAGGCCGCCAUGCACGCAACACGAAUGAUACGACAACUUUUAACGGUGGAUCUCUUGGCUCGU
RNAcentral lists this unclassified non-coding RNA (418 nucleotides) under rhizosphere metagenome. RNAcentral describes it as "partial ribosomal RNA internal transcribed spacer region". The record is from RNAcentral.